RNAcentral lists this transfer RNA (83 nucleotides) under Panus rudis PR-1116 ss-1. RNAcentral's name for it is "tRNA-Phe". It matches the Rfam family "tRNA". From Rfam's summary of the family: Transfer RNA (tRNA) molecules are approximately 80 nucleotides in length. Their secondary structure includes four short double-helical elements and three loops (D, anti-codon, and T loops). Further hydrogen bonds mediate the characteristic L-shaped molecular structure. tRNAs have two regions of fundamental functional importance: the anti-codon, which is responsible for specific mRNA codon recognition, and the 3' end, to which the tRNAs corresponding amino acid is attached (by aminoacyl-tRNA synthetases). tRNAs cope with the degeneracy of the genetic code in two manners: having more than one tRNA (with a specific anti-codon) for a particular amino acid; and 'wobble' base-pairing, i.e. permitting non-standard base-pairing at the 3rd anti-codon position. The record is from RNAcentral. Lineage: Eukaryota; Fungi; Basidiomycota; Agaricomycetes; Polyporales; Panaceae.
GCCGGGAUAGCUCAGCUGGGAGAGCAACAGACUGAAGCCUUGCGGUAUUCUGGAGGUCCCGUGUUCAAUCCACGGUCCUGGCA